CUGAUAGGAUAGGUGGUGGUAGCUUCACCUUGUCCCCUGAUAGGAUAGGUGGUAGCUUCACCUUGUCCCCUGAUAGGAUAGGUGGUGGUAGCUUCACCUUGUCCCCUGACAGGAUAGGUGGUAGCUUCACCUUGUCCCCUGAUAGGAUAGGUGGUGGUAGCUUCACCUUGUCCCCUGAUAGGAUAGGUGGUGGUAGCUUCACCUUGUCCCCUGAUAGGAUAGGUGGUAGCUUCACCUUGUCCCCUGAUAGGAUAGGUGGUGGUAGCUUCACCUUGUCCCCUGAUAGGAUAGGUGGUGGUAGCUUCACCUUGUCCCCUGAUAGGAUAGG
Long non-coding RNA from Oncorhynchus tshawytscha (Chinook salmon), 328 nucleotides. RefSeq lists it as uncharacterized. NCBI's taxonomy places the organism in Eukaryota, Metazoa, Chordata, Actinopteri, Salmoniformes, Salmonidae. The record is from RefSeq and is a predicted model, not a curated record. The transcript is spliced from 4 exons.